UGUAGUCAUAUGCUUGUCUCAAAGAUUAAGCCAUGCAUGUCUAAGUAUAAAUCUUUUACUUUGAAACUGCGAACGGCUCAUUAUAUCAGUUAUAGUUUAUUUGAUAGUCCCUUACUACUUGGAUAACCGUAGUAAUUCUAGAGCUAAUACAUGCGUCAAUACCCUUCUGGGGUAGUAUUUAUUAGAUUGAAACCAACCCCUUCGGGGUGAUGUGGUGAUUCAUAAUAAGCUUGCGGAUCGCAUGGCUUUGCCGGCGAUGGAUCAUUCAAGUUUCUGCCCUAUCAGCUUUGGAUGGUAGGGUAUUGGCCUACCAUGGCUUCAACGGGUAACGGGAAU
This 336-nucleotide ribosomal RNA is filed under the name uncultured fungus. Its description in RNAcentral is "SSU rRNA". It matches the Rfam family "Eukaryotic small subunit ribosomal RNA", at positions 21 to 369 of the family's 1831-position model. The record is from RNAcentral. Lineage: Eukaryota; Fungi.